RNAcentral lists this ribosomal RNA (275 nucleotides) under uncultured bacterium. RNAcentral describes it as "partial 16S ribosomal RNA". It matches the Rfam family "Bacterial small subunit ribosomal RNA", at positions 399 to 691 of the family's 1533-position model. The record is from RNAcentral.
GCGUGAGUGAAGAAGGCCCUAGGGUUGUAAAGCUCUUUCAGGUGGGAAGAUGAUGACGGUACCACCAGAAGAAGCCCCGGCUAACUCCGUGCCAGCAGCCGCGGUAAUACGGAGGGGGCUAGCGUUGUUCGGAAUUACUGGGCGUAAAGCGCACGUAGGCGGUUUGUCUAGUCAGAUGUGAAAGCCCCGGGCUCAACCCGGGAACUGCAUUUGAUACUGGCAGGCUAGAGUCCGGGAGAGGGUAGUGGAAUUCCCAGUGUAGAGGUGAAAUUCGU